RNAcentral lists this ribosomal RNA (472 nucleotides) under uncultured bacterium. RNAcentral describes it as "partial 16S ribosomal RNA". It matches the Rfam family "Bacterial small subunit ribosomal RNA", at positions 28 to 523 of the family's 1533-position model. The record is from RNAcentral.
GACGAACGCUGGCGGCGUGCUUAACACAUGCAAGUCGAACGGUAAGGCCCUUCGGGGUACACGAGUGGCGAACGGGUGAGUAACACGUGGGUGAUCUGCCCUGCACUUCGGGAUAAGCCUGGGAAACUGGGUCUAAUACCGGAUAGGACCCUGGGAUGCAUGUCCUGGGGUGGAAAGCUUUUGCGGUGUGGGAUGGGCCCGCGGCCUAUCAGCUUGUUGGUGAGGUAAUAGCUCACCAAGGCGACGAUCGGUAGCUGGUCUGAGAGGAUGAUCAGCCUGACUGGAACUGAGAACGGUCCAGACUCCUACGGGAGGCAGCAGUAGGGAAUUUUCCACAAUGGGCGAGAGCCUGAUGGAGCAACGCCGCGUGCAGGAUGAAUGCCUUCGGGUUGUAAACUGCUUUUAUGUGCGAAGAAUUUGACUGUAACACAUGAAUAAGGAUCGGCCAACUACGUGCCAGCCGCCGCUGUAA